Molecule: long non-coding RNA, 1468 nt
Filed under: Anthonomus grandis grandis
Lineage: Eukaryota; Metazoa; Arthropoda; Insecta; Coleoptera; Curculionidae
Description: uncharacterized LOC126733452
Source: RNAcentral
ACCAUACAUUGUGAGUAUUAAGGCGGAAACAGACUAUCAUCACGUCACGUGAGCUCACGUGUUGUCACAUGAAACCCCACAUGCCGUCACACCUAUAAUCACACUAUUUAACAUGUCAUAUCACUUGUAACCAUACAAUUCGCUGUUUAUAUUUUUGUGUGUCUUGCAAAAUGGAAAGUGAGACCUCAACCAGUUCCUCAGAUUUUGAAGAAGACUUAGAAAACGUGGCUGCAUUUUUAAUAGUUGAUGAUGGAAUAAAAAGGAAGUGGGUGCACGAAAUAAAUAAACAGAGGGAAGAAUUAGGAGAAUAUCACAGAUUAGUUAAAGAGCUGAAUGAGCACCCAGAUCGAUAUCAUAUGUAUUUUCGGGUUACCAAAGCAGAAUUUGAUUUUUUGCACAGACUUGUUAAAGAAGAUAUCAAAAAGCAAAAUACCCAAUUCUGAAGGGCGAUAAGUACUGAAGAGAGAUUAGCGGUAUAUUUAAGGCAUCUCGCGACAGGCAAUUCAUUUAGAAGUAUGGUUUUCAGCUAUAGACUAGGAUUUAGCACAGUUCGAGAAAUAGUCAUUGAAGUUUGUAAUGCCAUCUGGAAGAACUUGGAACCCAUUGUAAUGUCUAAGCCAACGACAGAGUUAUGGAAAAAGUCUGCGGCUACAUUUAGUCAAAUAUGGGAUUUUCCGAAUUGCAUUGCUGCCAGAGAUGGUAAGCAUGUUAAUAUUCAGUGCCCAAUCAAUGCAGGCUCUACAUAUUACAAUUACAAGGGGAGUCAUUCAAUAGUUCUUUUGGCCUUGGUUGAUGCCGACUAUAAAUUUAUCGCCAUUGACGUUGGAUCCUAUGGCAGGAAUAGCGAUGGAGGUAUUUUUGAGAAAUCAAAAAUUGGUAAGAAGCUUCAAAACGGAAAAUUAGGAGUACCGGGAGAUACUCCCCUCGAAGCAAAUGGAUUACCACAGCCCCAUGUUAUUCUUGGCGAUGAAGCAUUUCCACUUAAAACUUAUUUGCUAUGUCCGUACAGCAGAUUUUAUUUGGGGGGAAAAUAAACCUAAUAAGAUAUACAAUUAUAGGUUAUUAGGGGCUAGGCGCAUUGUAGAAAACGCCUUCGGAAUUUUCGUCUCUCGUUGGAGAGUGUUUCGUAGACACUUCGAAAUACAAUCAGACUUCGUGGAUAAAGUUGUACUAGCUGCAUGUUGUCUGCAUAAUAUGUUGAGUACAGAAUCAAUGGAGCCCGACCUUGCUACUUUACGUUCUCCAAAAGCAGCCCUCCUAAAUAUUCAAGGAAUACGGAGAAAUCACGCUAAUGCUGCAUUCAGAACUCGAGAGGCUUUUAAAGAAUAUUUCAAUUCAUCUACUGGUUCUGUGCCUUGGCAAAUUGGUAUGGUUCGUAGAGGAAGAAUUUACAACGAAAAUGAUUAAUUGAGUACUUAUUACAACUACUUAUUCCUAACUAAAAUAAAUAAAUGAAAAUCUGAGAUUA